UCGAAUGAUGACUCUAUGACACGCUAUGGCAUUCCUCAAACUUAAUCACCAUGUGGAAUUCGUGUAUAACUAAAGUUUCAGCCUUGUCUGACA
This is a small nucleolar RNA of Aspergillus bombycis, 93 nucleotides long. It matches the Rfam family "A. fumigatus snoRNA Afu_455". NCBI's taxonomy places the organism in Eukaryota, Fungi, Ascomycota, Eurotiomycetes, Eurotiales, Aspergillaceae. The record is from Rfam.